GCCAACAUCGACGUCGAGUACGUGUCCCCCGAGGACGCCGACCCCGCCAUGAUCGCCGCCGAGAAGGAGGUGCAGAUGAAGAUGGAGGACAUGCUCUCCAAGCCCGAGAACAUUCGCGAGAAGAUUGUCCAGGGCCGCCUUGACAAGAUGGUCAACGAGAAGGCUCUCCUCAAGCAGGACUACAUCAAGGAUACUUCCAUCACCGUCGAGGAGCUCAUCAAGCAGGCUACCGCGGAGAUCGGCGAGAAGAUCUCCAUCCGCCGCUUCGUCAAGUACAACCUCGGCGAGGGCUUGGAGAAGAAGAACGAGGACUUUGCCGCUGAGGUUGAGGCUCAGACCAAGGCUCUCCAGAAGAAGGCCGAGGAGAAGAAGGAGGAGGCUCCCAAGGAGGAGGAGAAGAAGGAAGAGGCUGCCAAGCCCACCGUCGCCAUCUCCGCCAAGGACGUUAAGGUGCUCCGCGACAAGUCCGGCGCCGGCAUGAUGGACUGCAAGAAGGCCCUUGGUGAGUGCGGUGGUGACAUCGAGGAGGCUGUCGUCUGGCUUCGCAAGAAGGGCAUGGCCUCCGCCGACAAGAAGGCCUCCCGCAUCGCCGCGGAGGGUGCCGUCGCUCAGUACAUCCACGCCGGCGCUCGUCUCGGCGUGCUCGUCGAGGUCAACUGCGAGACUGACUUCGUCGCGCGCGGUGACAAGUUCAAGGAGCUCGUCGCCGACAUUGCCAUGCAGGUCGCCGCCUGCCCUGAUGUCGAGUAUGUGUCCCCCGAGGACGCCGACCCCGCCAUGAUCGCCGCCGAGAAGGAGGUGCAGAUGAAGAUGGAAGAUCUUCAGAGCAAGCCCGAGAACAUCCGCGAGAAGAUUGUCCAGGGCCGCCUCGACAAGAUGGUCAACGAGAAGGCUCUCCUCAAGCAGGACUACAUCAAGGACACUUCCAAGUCUGUCGAGGAGCUCAUUAAGGAGGCCACCGCGGAGAUCGGCGAGAAGAUCUCCAUCCGCCGCUUCGUCAAGUACAACCUCGGCGAGGGCUUGGAGAAGAGGAACGAGGACUUUGCCGCCGAGGUGGCUGCGCAGAUGGGCAAGUAAGUCGUCGAGCGAACAAGGGGGCGAACCCUUUAUUACUCGACGCCUCACAACCACAGCCGCGAAAAUCCUCUUUUCUAGC
Molecule: long non-coding RNA, 1156 nt
Filed under: Micromonas commoda
Lineage: Eukaryota; Viridiplantae; Chlorophyta; Mamiellophyceae; Mamiellales; Mamiellaceae
Description: long non-coding RNA (MCOM_LNC000154)
Source: RNAcentral